This is a long non-coding RNA of Anolis carolinensis (green anole), 5966 nucleotides long. RefSeq lists it as uncharacterized. The transcript is spliced from 2 exons. Lineage: Eukaryota; Metazoa; Chordata; Lepidosauria; Squamata; Anolidae. The record is from RefSeq and is a predicted model, not a curated record.
UCAGGCCUUUCUGAGUAUAGAGCUAUCUUCUUUCUAUGUGAAAAAGAUAAGGAAACACUCUAAAGGUUCCAAACAUAAAAAAAGAUGUGAAAUGUCAGGGCCACAGAAAUAGUCAGGCCUUUCUGAGUAUAGAGCUAUCUUCUUUCUAUGUGAAAAAGAUAAGCAAACACUCUAAAGGUUCCAAACAUAAAAAGAGAUGUGAAAUGUAAGGGCCACAGAAAUAGUCAGCCUCUGCAAACAUUAGGAUUGUAUGAUGUUGUUGUUAUUAUUAUUAUUGAGAGGCUGGGUGGCCAUCUGUUGGGAGUGCUUGGAUUGUGUCCUGCAUGGCAGAUCAUGGGAGGUGUUCGCUGGCCCUGAUUGUUUAGUGUCUGGCAUUCCCGUGUUUUAAGAGUGUUUUUUUUUUAUUUGGUGUUGUGAUUUUAAGCUUGUUAAAAUAUUAGGAGAGAGAUUGUGUUGAUUGUCAUGGUUCAUAGCAUAUAUUUAAAAUAUAGAGUAUUAAAAUGGGUUGGAUAUUGUAGAAGGUUGGAGUGGAGAUAAAUGGUUUGGAUGAUGGGCGGGCGCUAGGACCCAGGGGACAGUUUUUUCCCAUUGCCUGCCUUCCCUGUUGCCGGUGGCCAUGAGGGCUUCUCUUUUCCCUCCCUGGCAUGGCUCCCGAUGGGGCGUUGUGGGUUCUCUUCAUGUGGAGGUUUUUCAAGAUAUUUGGAACUACUGAUAAAGAAAUGCUAAACUUGAAAGAUACUUCAGAACUAACUUGCCACAAUCAGGAUCAAGUCUGAGAAGACACCAAAAGCAAUUCAGAUAGGCUAUGCUGGUGAGUAUCUCUCACUUCUCAUGCAAGCCUUCAUGGAAGAGCCUUUCAUUAUGCAAAGAAGUAGAAUGAGUUAUAGUUCUAAUUAGAACAGGAUUAAUGGAAAGAAACUAAGAUCUCUCCUGGAAAUGACAAAAUGCAUACUGGCAGAUGUCUUGAUUGCAAUGUAGCACCAUGAAGCAUAUUAGAACUUUGAGCAGAAGUACAUACUUCAAAUCAAAAGUAAAGUAAACUACACACUACAGAACAGACUGCUCUAAUUGAGAUUGAACCUGGAAACAAAGGAUAUCAAGAAAUAUACUGAAAGACUGGUGAACUUACUAGUAGACACAUAGUUCACGUUAAUGAAUAAAACAGAACAGAUAAGAAGGAAGAACAAUAAAUGCCCUGACUGACUCACCAGGGCAGGGAGGUUGAGGCAGCAGCAUGCCAUCUUCUUGGGGGCGCCUUCUUCCUAGGAGCCUUUUGCACCUGGCAUGCUUUGCAUACCUAGGGCCUGGCCGGCCAAUCAGGAGUAGAUCCCACCCCACCCUCUAAUUGGCUGAGAUGGGCAUCCCUCUGGAUCUGCUGGCAGCCUAUUUAAGGCUAUGUUGGGCCAUUCCCCAGACGGUGUUUCCCAAGGCUGUCCCAUCCACCCACUCAUCCUUUGUUCUGUUAACUUUGACUAUGUUGUAUAAUCAGAGUUUUGUUCUUUGUCACAAAUUGCUGGCAUUUGGCAUGACAUAACUCCCUUCCCCAUUUCAAAAGGAGGGGAGUGUCCAGUGGCUUAUCAGGGGUGCAGCAGUACCAGUGUCCUGGCACGGAACUGAUCGGUAAAUGGUUGCACCCCUAGACAUGGUUAGUGGCAUCGGUCAACAGUGGGUUUUCUGAUUCCUGAUCCAAGACCCAUUGUUGUAACCAAUAAACAAGUUGUGGCCUUUGUUAUCCCAACACUGUGUGUUUGUCUUCCUUCUGGUGGGAGGGGGUCAUCACCACUGCACAUGCAACAAAAUCUCUAGUUCAUCAUAGAAGUGCAAAUAAUGCCAACAUUUACAAUAUCACAAACAUUUGGAAUAGACUGAUGAAACAUUUGCAUCUGUGGUUAGAAACAGCACCCUAAAACUGUUCUUUAGCAUGGCUGCCUUCAAACAUAUAGAUAAUAGUCACCUUGAUGUGAAAACUGCAUUUUUUCAUGGAGAAAUAAUGAGAAGCUGUACAUGCAAUAACCCAAAAAGAAGGACUGGGCCAGUGUAAAAUGAAUGGUUAGAGAUACUAGAAGGAAAUGUAGAGUUUAAACUGAAGCUGACAGUAAUCUAAAACCUGUAUGUUGCAUGGAUAACGAUUGAACAAGCGAUAGUGCAGAUUAUCAAUCUGCCAUUAUUUUAAAAUGAAAAUGUGUCUAAUUUCUAAACCAAUCUUAAACAAGUAAUAUUUUGCAAAUAGGAAGAAUGCAUUGCACAGAAGCAUGCAGAGAGGUUUUAUGAAUUGAUCAACUAUUGACUGACUUUGGAAUAAGUAAACAGAAACAGAUUUAGUUUAUGAAAGGAAUCCUAUUGUUGUUGUGCCUUUUCCAGAAAACAACAGCCCACUGAUUCUGGCCAUGAAAGCCUUCGACAACACAAACCUGUUGUAUUAAAUUUAUUCAAUAAGAUACCAUGCAGCAAACACAUUGGAACAAAACACAACAAAAUACAUGAGGUGACUAACAAAGGAGUAAUCAAGAUGAUCUACUGUCUAGUUACUGAAAUGUCAGUUGAUAUCUUGACCAAGCCUUUACCAAGAGACUCUUUAAGAACCUGUGAGUCAUGGUGAGUUUUCAGAGCUGAGAGGGUAUGUCAGAGUUUGCAUUCUUUGCAAGUCUGUAUUCAUGAAUUGAUAGCUUGCACGUUGCUUUAUGGGAGUUUAGCACAGUACAUAUUUAUGGCAACUUCUUGAUUGUUAGGAUUUUUUUUACAUCCUUUCUCCUCCUGCAUCACUCUAUCCUACAAUCAUUCUCCUGUUAUGUCUCUUUCAUUGAUUAGACCAUAUACUUGAUUGUGUACAAACAUUUCAGGUAAGGCUACUUUUUAUAUAUAUAUUACAAAAAACUAAGCUUAUUUUUCCCCCUGCUGGACAUUGUCGAGGUUUUUGGAAACGAAUUAAUGCUCAAUUCUUGCUUGUCAAUUGAUAUUUAUGUUAGAAAGGUCCACUAACAUAUCUCUCAUUUCCCAACACAGAUGGUGAUCAGAAGCGGAACCUUCUUGGUGGUAGCACCUUGCUUGUAGUAUUACUUGACUAGAACUUCCAUUUUUUUUCUGGUAUUGAAAGUGUACAGUUCUUGCUGUUGUUGUAUUUAUUGUAGUGUAGAAAUUGUAUUUGUCUUUUUAUUUCUAUAUACACCUUCUUGACAGUAUGAUUGUGGAUUAGUAUAUAAGUUGAAUAUAUUAAUUGGAAAUUGUGGUUUAUCAAUUUAGGGAAUGAUUAUAGUGCUGGUUUGUGUCUUCCAUGUGACUAAAGUAAUAAGUUCACAGCAGGUCUUAGUUCAAAGGUUGUAAUCCAUGAUGCUGAACCCUAUCCUCAAAAUAGGUCUGGGACCUUGAAUAGCUCUUCAACCAUCCAGACUCUGUGGAUUCACUGUCCCAAUGACAUAAGAACUACCCAAUCUGGAAAAUUUCAGGUAAAACAUGCCUGCAUCCUACACUGACUAUGGAUGUCUAUUAAAAAAGGAGAUGUCACACUGCUCAUGUCUCUCCACACUGCUCAUGUCUCUCCAUAACUUGCAUGGUGUGUUUGAAGGCUCACAAAGGAUCUUGGGAAGCAUACUUAGUCUUCUUUUUUAAUUAACCAAUAAAAUAUUAAGUGAAACAAUGGAUAAAGUAAUAUACUGAAGGCCAAAAUACUGACAGGUUGCUGUGAAAGGUCAGUGAUUACACAGGUUGGUUCUCUGUGGUUCAACUGUGAUGUAGUGAAGAAAAAUGAAGAGCUCUCUAGGGAUAGACAAGGUUUCUACUAGUUUUGCAUUAUGCUAUACUUCAUGCAGUUCUUAAUUUUAGAGAAAUUUUGUUUUGAAAGUUUACACAAAAAAAUUAUAACAAUACUGUGGACUCUUGGUAGUCCCUGGGUUUGGUUCCAGGACACCCCCUCCCUUGGAUACUAAAAUUUAUGGAUGCUCAAUUCCCAUUAUAUACAGUGGCAUAGAAAAAUGGUGUCCCUCACAUAAAAUAGCAAAAUCAAGUUUUACUUUUUGGAUUUUUUUAAAAAUCAAGCUGUGGAUGCUUGAAUCCAUGGAUGCAGAAGCUAUGGAUAGAGAAGGCCAGCUGUAUAGGCUGAAAUCAUGUUGGUACACGAUGUCACAAUGUCCUUUUGGUACACAAUGUCAGUGGUUCUACUUUUUCCAGAAUACCAUAGGAAUGCAAAGGGAAAACAGAUAAAAUCCAAUGCAUCUGAGUGGCCUACUUCUCCAGUGCCUUCCUUCCAUUAUGGUUGUUGUUGCACCUAUGAUUUUUCUCCACCUGGAGCCACCAUAAAAGCCAGGAUACUUAUGCUAGCAUAGUACACAAACAAGACAGUAGCCUAGCAUGCAUUUCUCCUAAUUCAUACACAUAUAUUUUGUUGAAACUUUUACUAGGGAGCUCCAAUGCCAAAUUUGGACUGUGGUUACAGAAAGAAAAUGUUUGAGGAUUAUAGAACUGCAGGCCAUUUAUUCGUUCAGAAGUCUGAAGUUAUGUGCUACCUACUACACUCCUAACAAUAACAAAUAGCAAUAGCAAAGCAUGUUUAUUUGAUUCAGAUGAAUAAAAUGUACCUGGGACCCUGGUGCUGAAUCACACAUUCUAGUCAUCCUGCCUUCGUCAGACGUACAUAUAAUGAACAUACAUAUGCAAAUAUAUAAAAAACAUAUAUAAAUUCCACCUACAUAUAUCUGUUCACAGAAACCAUGCCUUAUAGCAUGGAUAGUAUUUCCUGAAUUAAUCAGAAUUCUGGGUUUUAAAAAAUGUACUGCUUAUCCAUGUUUUCUGUUCAUAAGUCACUAUGAUAAAUGAUUGUUUACUUUGCAAUACAAUUCCUUUAUUGAAGGGCCUGCAGUGGUUGCCAAUUAGAUAUGUUGAAUUUUAUGAAUCUAUGCAGUUUAGGAACAGGCUGUAAAAGACUUCAUCUUCCCCCAUAUGUACUACUUGGGACUUUAUUUAUUUAUUGGUAUGGGUUCUGCUUACUGUAAUAUGGCCUACUGAGAUUUGUUUGCUUUCCCUUAAAACUACUUUGCACAUUUUAAGUUGAAUAAAAUGGGAAUGAAACUAGAGAUGACCUUUCUGCCAGUUUUAAUUCCAUCAGGAGAUGGUGGUAUAGCCUGUGGUGGGUCUAGCAGGAAGCAAAAUUAUCCCUCCUCCUUGAAGCCGCUCACUCUUGUUUUAAAGGGACAAUGUAUUCAUAUGGAAUGAAAGGAGAAACAAACACUCUUUACUCUCAUUCUCUAAUUUCAGGUUCAAACAUCAUACUUCCAAGAAGGUAUUUGUCAGUUAUUAUAAUUGCAUUUCUGUCAUAAUUUAUCUUGUGUGAUCUGAGGAAUCUGAUAUGGAAGAGUAUCUGGCUUCAGAAAAUGUCUCCUCCCCUGAAUGUGAGCAGCUAGUGACACAUGCAGCUGACAAAGGAAUAUGACCCACUACCACAGAUUGAAUUGAUGGAUACUGAGAAGACACCCCCUACCCCAUCUUUUGCAGUGCGUCAAUGGGAAUGGAAAUAGAAGAAUCAACAUCUCAUGCAGAAGCUUAAAUGAGAAACCUGGCACCUCAAGGAUGAGCAGCUAUAAAUCUCCCAGCAAGUGCUACGAGUUCUUAUUCUCAACUGUUCAUUCUACUGGGCUUUCAUUUCUUUUGUGCUCCUAGAUAUAUUCUUGGUUCUUAGCCUCAUGGAUGACUUUUGGUUACUGUGGUUGCUGGCUUCUCAUGACAGGAACAGCUGAGACCUUAUUACUAUGCCUGACUCCAACUCCAAUUUCCUUGAUUACCUGUGUAUGACCUGGACAAUCUUGAUUCACCUGUAAUGGCUUCCCUGUUAUAGCCUCCUUCUUUUGGCACUUCCUGCCUGUAGGCAUAGAAAGAUUUUUUCCUUUAAGAAGAAUGGGCUAUCAAUAAUGGAUCCAGUCUAUUUAGGAGCAAUCCUUCCUUCAUCCUGCUAAAGAAGUAAAAUAAGACUAAAAAGA